UGCUCUUAGUGGCGAACGGGUGAGUAACGCGUUGGUGACCUGCCCCGAAGAACGGGAUGACAGCUCGAAAGGGCUGCUAAUACCGUAUGAGAUCUAGGAAGUUAGAGUACCUAGAUGAAAGGAGAAAUCCGCUUCGGGAGGGGCCUGCGUCCCAUCAGCUAGUUGGUAGGGUAAAGGCCUACCAAGGCAAAGACGGGUAGGGGACCUGAGAGGGUGACCCCCCACAAUGGAACUGAAACACGGUCCAU
RNAcentral lists this ribosomal RNA (248 nucleotides) under uncultured bacterium. Its description in RNAcentral is "partial 16S ribosomal RNA". It matches the Rfam family "Bacterial small subunit ribosomal RNA", at positions 87 to 334 of the family's 1533-position model. The record is from RNAcentral.